RNAcentral lists this long non-coding RNA (332 nucleotides) under Mytilus galloprovincialis (Mediterranean mussel). Lineage: Eukaryota; Metazoa; Mollusca; Bivalvia; Mytilida; Mytilidae. The record is from RNAcentral.
AAAAAACAUAUUCUCCAAGUAUUAUUUUGAUAUGAAAACUAAUAAAGAAGAAAAUUGGAAAUUAUUAAUUUUAUUUCUUGAAACUUCCUGACUUAUGUGACGUAGUUUAAGUCUUUUUGCAUGCCGGGAGUGAAAUUAAUCUCAUUUAAGUCUUGUUCGUUAACCAUCUGAUAACGUGAUUUAAAGCGCAUCGAUGACUUUUGGUGUAGCUAUUAACCAACGAAAAAUAAGUGAAAGCCAUGCAACUUUUAAAAUAAGAUCGUGUGGAUUUUUUUAAACGAAUUUUAAUAAUAAAAGUUAAUCACACAAUAGAACAUUUUUAUGAUUUUUUU